CCUUUGCCUUUCUUUCCUCUCUUCUUCAACAUGUUAGUGCUGUCACGCUCAGCACAGGCACCAUACUUCUUCUCCAGAAACAACGCAGCCUUGGCAACAAGACAAUUAGAAAAUGUAGUUUUAUCAUUGUUCGUGACCGUUGGCAAAGCUGCUUGGCAUUCUUCUUGAACCAUGUUUCUAGUUUGUUGAGUCUCCUGGAAUCUUAGCUUUAACCAUUGCAUAAUGGACUCUUUUAGCUCUCUUUCCUUUUGGUCAUUAUCCCCCAACCAACCA
RNAcentral lists this unclassified non-coding RNA (273 nucleotides) under Hevea brasiliensis (rubber tree). Lineage: Eukaryota; Viridiplantae; Streptophyta; Magnoliopsida; Malpighiales; Euphorbiaceae. The record is from RNAcentral.